UGGGGUGAGCUCAGUGGUAUAGCACUUGCCUAGCAUAGCAAGUGCAAGGCUCUGGGUUUAAUCCCCAGCAAUGCAA
Molecule: transfer RNA, 76 nt
Filed under: Marmota monax (woodchuck)
Lineage: Eukaryota; Metazoa; Chordata; Mammalia; Rodentia; Sciuridae
Description: tRNA.Ala
Source: RNAcentral